GACGAACGCUGGCGGCGUGCUUGACACAUGCGAGUCGAACGGAAAGGCCCUGCUUUUGUGGGGUGCUCGAGUGGCGAACGGGUGAGUAACACGUGAGUAACCUGCCCUUGACUUUGGGAUAACUUCAGGAAACUGGGGCUAAUACCGGAUAGGAGCUCCUGCUGCAUGGUGGGGGUUGGAAAGUUUCGGCGGUUGGGGAUGGACUCGCGGCUUAUCAGCUUGUUGGUGGGGUAGUGGCUUACCAAGGCUUUGACGGGUAGCCGGCCUGAGAGGGUGACCGGCCACAUUGGGACUGAGAUACGGCCCAGACUCCUACGGGAGGCAGCAGUGGGGAAUAUUGCACAAUGGGCGGAAGCCUGAUGCAGCAACGCCGCGUGCGGGAUGACGGCCUUCGGGUUGUAAACCGCUUUCGCCUGUGACGAAGCGUGAGUGACGGUAAUGGGUAAAGAAGCACCGGCUAACUACGUG
Molecule: ribosomal RNA, 468 nt
Filed under: uncultured bacterium
Lineage: Bacteria
Description: partial 16S ribosomal RNA
Rfam family: Bacterial small subunit ribosomal RNA
Source: RNAcentral